CUUAUUCCGUCUACAGGAUCAGGAACAACAGCCGGUUCCAAUAGGCUCAGUUCAACUUCAUCUGGACCUUCAUAUUUUGGCUGAACGCCGAUACCGAAAGCCGAACUGAUCGCGAUUAGAACAAGGACAAAUUACGCUGUCCGAGAUGGUUACCUUAGCUAUUGGCUUAUGCCGGGGCCCUUUCUCUCCUUACAUUUUUCUUCAGUGUCUGGUGUGAACUUCUUCAUUGCAUUACGUGCACGUGUUCGCUGCCUCGUCAUGAAGAGGGUCUACUAUUUUGUAAGACCAAAAAGAUGAAAUUUGAAAAGGUUUCCUUGUUCAGUUUAUGAAGUUUAUGAGCUGUUAAUGGUGUUUUCUGGUGUUCAGUUGAGAGAUGCCCUCUGAGAUGGAUAAUAAACUGCUGAGCCUUUUCUCAUACCAUCGUCUUUUUGGACGUGGAGAAUGUCAGUUCACUGUAGAGUAGCUUGGCUGGUGAUAAUGUUAAUAAUAUGGUAAAAAUUUUUAAUUCCUGCCUUUAUUCCUUAAGGUUACUAAAUUUAAAUAUUUUGUGUGGUCAACUUACACGGAUCAAGGCAUGUAAAUCAUAUUUGCAAGAUUAAUUGCUAAUGGUCAUGAAGUCUGCUGUUCAUUUUCUCGUCUCUUGGUUCAUGUUGCACGUUUCGUCAUAUUCAGUACUUAAGAUUAAUGGAGUCUGAAAGCUUCUUUUUUGCUUUACGUGUACGUGGUCAUUGCCGUUUAAUGAAGGUUCUCUAAGAGGGUCUCUACUACAUUGAAAGACAAUAUAGUGAUGGAAAUAGGAAAUCUAAAUGAAAGAGUAAUAAUGUUCCCAUGGUCAGUUUGAUGUAUGAGCUGGUUCGUUGUGGCUGUUUUGGUGUGCAGUGAUCUUCCAGGAGAAAUGCGUUAAUAAGGACAAAGUGCCGCAACAAGUUGGCGACAUGGCAAUCUUAUCACCGAGCCUGACGACGUCUGCUAUGGAAACUGUCAGUCACGUUAUUCGUGAUUAUUGCGGUCAGCUUCAACAUUCUUCUUCACAAAUGUCUCAAAGGAUUAAUGGUUCGGUGAGGCUGAGCCUUUUAAUGGUGGUCAAAAGUCCACAUGGACUUGUUGCAGCCAACUGGUGAAGGUUGUGGGGAAGUGCUGCAUGUUGUCUGUGGUGUUGGUCUGAAAUAUUUUCAUUGCUUCAACUAGUUUCCAUCGUCAGUAAGAAGCUGUGUGUAAGAAAGUGUGUUGCUCUUUGGUGUGCAGUUCAUGUUUGGGUGGUUGUGUUGCAGCCAGCUGGUGAAAGCGAGUUCGAGUUGAGCUGAAGCUUAAUGAACCAGUCAACAAUGAUAGUGUUUAAAGUGAACUAUCAAUGAAGACAUCUUGAAAUGGAGUUGGUGACAAUGAGAUUGUCAAUCUGCUGCAUGUAGUUUUUACUAUCAAUAUGUGGAGAAGUAAGACUGGAAGCAAAGUUGCAAGAAAAAGAAAUGGUCUCGGCGAAAAUGUGCAGUCGUCUUGCAGUCUGACUCCUGUUCAAGCUGUUCCUGUCCUGAAUUGUGCUGGAAUCUUUGAAGUAGCUGAUCCUGAAGGUGUUAUGUUGGAGUUUUCUUGAAGAAGCUGAUGUUGGUGUUAUCUACUUACUGUGCCAGUGCAACGUGUCGAUAAAAAUAUUAUAUCCAUAUAACAUGUGAUUGUAGUA
This is a long non-coding RNA of Daphnia pulex (common water flea), 1678 nucleotides long. RefSeq lists it as uncharacterized. The record is from RefSeq and is a predicted model, not a curated record. NCBI's taxonomy places the organism in Eukaryota, Metazoa, Arthropoda, Branchiopoda, Diplostraca, Daphniidae. The transcript has 13 exons.